GCCGUAUCCACCGUCUCGACUUGAUCGAUCAUCGAAUUUUGCCCGUCGAGCAUUUGGCUAAGGAAAUGAAUGUACGCUUCUACUCUCUACUCCCUAUGGAACUGCGCUGGUGAUCAACAAACUAAGAUCCCCGUUGCCAUGGAGGAUUUUCGGUGACGCUCGUUAUAGACGGUGACGACGAGCUCCACAUCGUGACUAGCAGUCAUCGACAUCGCCGCUAACAAGUCUCUCUUAGGACGCGCGCGUACGGAUGUUCGACUUACUCGUUUGCGUCGGCUGGCCUCGUUGGGGUCAUCCUCUGGACACUUUCGCUUUGCGCCACCAACGCCGC
This is a long non-coding RNA of Varroa destructor (honeybee mite), 331 nucleotides long. RefSeq lists it as uncharacterized. NCBI's taxonomy places the organism in Eukaryota, Metazoa, Arthropoda, Arachnida, Mesostigmata, Varroidae. The record is from RefSeq and is a predicted model, not a curated record.